This 253-nucleotide ribosomal RNA is filed under the name uncultured bacterium. RNAcentral's name for it is "partial 16S ribosomal RNA". It matches the Rfam family "Bacterial small subunit ribosomal RNA", at positions 524 to 776 of the family's 1533-position model. The record is from RNAcentral.
UACGUAGGGGGCAAGCGUUGUCCGGAUUUACUGGGCGUAAAGAGCGUGUAGGCGGCCACGCAGGUCCGUUGUGAAAACUGGAGGCUCAACCUCCAGCUGUCGACGGAAACCGUAUGGCUAGAGUCCGGAAGAGGAGAGUGGAAUUCCUGGUGUAGCGGUGAAAUGCGCAGAUAUCAGGAAGAACACCCGUGGCGAAGGCGGCUUUCUGGGACGGUACUGACGCUGAGACGCGAAAGCGUGGGGAGCGAACAGG